GCGGAAGUACCCAAGUGGCCAAAGGGGCUCCCCUGCUAAGGGAGUAGCACUCGUGAAGGGUGGCGUGGGUUCAAAUCCCACCUUCCGCG
This 89-nucleotide transfer RNA is filed under the name Clostridia bacterium. RNAcentral describes it as "tRNA-Ser". It matches the Rfam family "tRNA". Rfam says of the family: Transfer RNA (tRNA) molecules are approximately 80 nucleotides in length. Their secondary structure includes four short double-helical elements and three loops (D, anti-codon, and T loops). Further hydrogen bonds mediate the characteristic L-shaped molecular structure. tRNAs have two regions of fundamental functional importance: the anti-codon, which is responsible for specific mRNA codon recognition, and the 3' end, to which the tRNAs corresponding amino acid is attached (by aminoacyl-tRNA synthetases). tRNAs cope with the degeneracy of the genetic code in two manners: having more than one tRNA (with a specific anti-codon) for a particular amino acid; and 'wobble' base-pairing, i.e. permitting non-standard base-pairing at the 3rd anti-codon position. Lineage: Bacteria; Bacillati; Bacillota; Clostridia. The record is from RNAcentral. RNAcentral also lists the same sequence under 1 other name.